Molecule: long non-coding RNA, 710 nt
Filed under: Chrysemys picta bellii (western painted turtle)
Lineage: Eukaryota; Metazoa; Chordata; Testudines; Emydidae
Description: lncRNA (ENSCPBG00000005083.1)
Source: RNAcentral
CGUGGUUCAAGUGACCUCAUGAUUAAAUUCAAUAAAUUUAGAACACUGAACAAAAUGCCAUAUCAAACAAUUAUAUGAAUUCUCAAAGGUUUACUCUAAAGGCAUAUGGAAAAGGAACUGGGGAAUAACAAUAGAAGACACCUCAGCUCAAGAGGAAAGGUUUUGCUGGCAUUUCUAUGAUGUUGCCCUUGGAGAAUGAAGGAUCAAUGACUGGGCAGACAAUGGAUCCUUCUCCUCCUUUCCUCAUGCAAGAUGUGAUAAUUGAGAUGAGAGUUAGCAGGAAGGAAACAGAAUGAAUCAAGGCCCCACACUACAAGAAGGAUGUGGAAAAACUGGAAGGAGUCUAGCGGAGGGCAACAAAAAUGAUUAGAGGGCUGGAGCACAUGACUUAUGAGGUGAGGCUGAAGGAACUGGGAUUGUUUAAUCUGCAGAAGAGAAGAAGGUCAGGCUUGGCGAAGCCCUGGCUAGGAUAAUUUAGUUGGGGAUUGGUCCUGCUUUGAGCAGGGGGUUGGAUUAGAUGACCUCCUGAGAUCCCUUCCAACCCUGAUAUUCUAGGAUUCUAUGAAGGUAAGUUAUUUUUCCUCAAAAACUUGAGGGUUGUUAAGAGACCAUGUCACUGUGGGAAAAGGCCUGUGUCCACCUGAGAUCAAAAGAAUGAUAGUUUAAAAAGACACUCUCUCUCUCUCUCUCUCUCUCUCUACGUAAGGUAA